RNAcentral lists this transfer RNA (73 nucleotides) under Thermoplasmatales archaeon A-plasma. It matches the Rfam family "tRNA". From Rfam's summary of the family: Transfer RNA (tRNA) molecules are approximately 80 nucleotides in length. Their secondary structure includes four short double-helical elements and three loops (D, anti-codon, and T loops). Further hydrogen bonds mediate the characteristic L-shaped molecular structure. tRNAs have two regions of fundamental functional importance: the anti-codon, which is responsible for specific mRNA codon recognition, and the 3' end, to which the tRNAs corresponding amino acid is attached (by aminoacyl-tRNA synthetases). tRNAs cope with the degeneracy of the genetic code in two manners: having more than one tRNA (with a specific anti-codon) for a particular amino acid; and 'wobble' base-pairing, i.e. permitting non-standard base-pairing at the 3rd anti-codon position. RNAcentral also lists the same sequence under 3 other names. Lineage: Archaea; Methanobacteriati; Thermoplasmatota; Thermoplasmata; Thermoplasmatales. The record is from Rfam by way of RNAcentral.
GCCGCUGUAGCUCAGCAGGUAGAGCAGCUGAUUCGUAAUCAGCAGGUCGGGGGUUCAAAUCCCUCCAGCGGCU